GCUAAGAAUCUUCCACAAUGGACGGAAGUCUGAUGGAGCGACGCCGCGUGGGCGAUGAAGGCCGCAAGGUUGUAAAGCCCUUUUCGGGAGGGGGAAUAAGCGCGCCAGGGAAUGGGCGCGCGAUGACGUGAAUCCCGGAAUAAGCCCCGGCUAACUACGUGCCAGCAGCCGCGGUAACACGUAGGGGGCGAGCGUUGUUCGGAAUUAUUGGGCGUAAAGGGCGCGCAGGCGGCCUGGGAAGUCUGGCGUGAAAGCACACGGCUCAACCGUGCGAUGCGCUGGAAACUCCCUGGCUAGAGUACAGGAGGGGGCAUUGGAAUUCCAGGUGUAGGGGUGAAAUCUGUAGAUAUCUGGAAGAACACCGGUGGCGAAGGCGAAUGCCUGGCCAUGUACUGACGCUGAGGCGCGAAGGUGCGGGGAGCAAACAGGUUUAGAAACCCUAGUAGUCC
This 449-nucleotide ribosomal RNA is filed under the name uncultured bacterium. Its description in RNAcentral is "bacterial SSU rRNA". It matches the Rfam family "Bacterial small subunit ribosomal RNA", at positions 354 to 796 of the family's 1533-position model. The record is from RNAcentral.